ACACCCUGGGCCACUGAAGUGGAGCGUGCAAACUUCACCACUCAGCCACAGGGCUGGCCCCACCUGCUCUCUUUUGAAACAUUCUAAGUCAGUUGUUUUGUUUUUACCUGUACUCCGUAUUUCUUGAGCAUCUGGAUCCAGCUCUCUUUUUAAUCAUUGUGCUUCAUUUUUUUCCUAGGAGGUUUAGUGCCUACACUCUCUGGCAUGUUUACAUUGGAGCAAAUGGUCCCUCUGGGUCAUUCCUCUGAAAUUUUUAGUCACUUCAUAGUCUCACAGUAGUUUGCUAAUCCCAAAUGCAAUCUGAUAAACCAGUUCCCAAGACGUCAAUUUUAGUUAAGACAGUGGAAAAAUUGGUAUCUUUCACUUUACAGUGAUAUGUUCUGGUAGUUCUGUUGGCUCAUUUCCCAUUUUUUCCCAAGCUCUUAGAAAAUGCAUUCGUAUAAAUAUUCUUCAAUUCUGAAUUAUUCGUAUUAACUUCAUAGACUAUCAUGGAUUAUUUCCAAUCCCAUCCCCUUUAGCUGAUCCUCUUGCAAUUCUGACACUUCUUUUUAUACUCAGGAAAUUCACCAUUUAACAAAUAUUUAUUCAUAACAACAACCAUAAACAAAUGCUAGGAUUCAGGGACACAAAGAUAAAUAAAAUAUUGUCCAUCCUUCAAGGAACUCAUGAUAGGUAAGUUGUCUCUUCCUUAUUUCUUUAAAAGAUAUUCAUAUCCUUUUAUUUUUAUAAUCAUUAAACUUGGCUUCUUACAGAAAUGAGUAUAUUGUCUUACAUCCUUGGAAUAAUCCUCACCAUAGGAUUAUCCUAAGGCUUAUAUUAAGGUGAAAAAAAUGAGGUUAUAUGGUCCCCAAAAGAAGUGGUUUGUGGUUUGGGUAUAAUUUGCUUAAUAUUUCCCUGUGUCUAUGUUGAAAAGACUUCUUGUUUCAAGUUAAAACACUAUGGCUAUAAAUGAGAGUAGACUAUUUGUUUCACAUUUGGCUGCCAUAAUUGAUAUAGAUUGUCUAUUCCAGAAACAUACAGCCAGAAGUGAGUCAACAGCUAAAUGGAACAGAAACGAGAAAAAAAGUCUCAAGAAAUCUUCUAAGGCAGUAAUAGCCCCCAUCUGGAAUCUUCCCCUCUUCUGCAAGAGAUUUUGCAGUUAAUUAGAGUGCAGUGGGACCAGAGGGAGCUCUGGUCUGCAUGGUACAAGUUGACAGUAACUCCAAGUCUGCCCCACGCUCAUCUAUUUCCCUUAUUGGCCUUUGAGUUAGAACAUGGAAGGACCUCAUCAAAAUAUAUAUGUUUAGUCACAGAAUUUUAUUGCUGUAAGGAUCUUACCAAUCAUUAUACCACAGAGGUUCCCAAGCCUUGUCAAGAGUUGGAACUCCUUUUCAACCUCAACAUUUCCUGGAUUCCCAUUCGGUAGAACUUAAACUUACAGCAUCCAUAGAUUGAGAAGGUGUAUGCCAACAUGAAUUCACAAUCAUUUACAUGAAUGUAAACUCUAUUAGUCAGAACAGCAGUUACAUAUAUUUGAAAUGAAUAACUAUACUUAUAUGCGUGAGACUUGUCAUUGAUUUCAUCUGUAGCCUACUAGAUGUACACAUGGAUUUGGAGUCUCCCAGGAGCCUGCAUCUUGGAACCAUUGAUCUAAUCUAAUCUCUUGUUUCAACAGAUGAAGAUAAAUGUGGUUCAUGGAUAUUAAGUGACUUUCCAAGGACACAACUAGCUGGUGGCAGAGUCCAGUUCAUUGACAUCUUUUCCACUGUACCACAGCUGUCUUAAACUUUCCUGAAAUUAUUCAUCCAGAUCAGCAGAGAGAAAUAUCAUAAAUAAGUUAGCUCAGAGGAAUCUAUAAUGUGUGUGCUACACAUGGGAGGACAUGCUCCUAUAUUUAAUUAAAAAAUUACCUUUCAGUUAAUCAUAUUGUGUAUAGAAUUCUUGCAAAACUUUUCCCACUUGACAACAUAUCUUGAGGAUUGCAAAGGGGUAGAGACCUAUGUUAAGUACUUUUCAAGCCAUAGAGUAAACUUGGAAAAUAUUGAAUUUCUGGCCACAGAUAAUAGCCCCCAAAAAAGCUGAGCAGUUUUUUAGAACCUUAAAGAUUACGGAUUUUUGACAAUGCACAGGCGCAAAAGUCAGCAAGAAUGGACAUCCUCAACUUCUGCCAAGUCAGGAGAAGCAGUCUGGCUGCCGAGUUGAGAAAGGAAAUGAGAAAAAUCACCAGCCAAAUAAUACAUUAUAAUAUUGGCAGACAUAGGAGGAGGAGUGUGUCAAAGAUAUUAAAAAGCCAUUCAGCGUUAGAAUGACUCGAUUCAGCUGGGGAAAGAUGAAAAGAACAAUUGGUAUUUCUUGGAUAUUUUUUAAUGUUUAGAUACAGGAGGGUGUCUCAAGAGUAGCCAGGUCUGCAGCUGAAGGUUUGUCUGAGUGAUUGAUAUGAGGUGAAAGAUGCUGACCUGAAUGCUGUUGAAAUCUCUGCUCUCCCUGGAUAACCCACGUCUGCCAGUACUGCAUUGGCUUAGAAAACUGCAAGCGUUCAACAGGUCAGCUUUAGGCCUGUCUUGAUCUGAAUGACCCUGGGGAGUCUAGGUUUAUUCUGAUUCCCAUGAAAAUUUGGGUCAUUUUGGGGGAAAUCUUGCAUGGUCCAAUCAUAUCUUUUGUGUGGAUAUAGUAAUAAUGAAGUUUCUUCAGUUAGUUCCAACAGUGUCUUAAGAAUCAAGGCUGUUUAGAUGUUAUGUGUGUCUAUUUUCCAUAGAUAGUGGAACUAUCUUAUGAAUAAAGUUUGCCAUCUUCAUCUCAACCAAAUGAUUUGACACUACGAGUUUCAUAGGCAAUCUUAGAGAGUAUAGAGUCAAAUAUGAGCAAAUCCAUUCCCACUACUGGAAGAUGUAACUCACCCUCUGUUGUCUUUGGGGACAGCAUAUGUGAGUCUUAGAGAAGCAAAGAGUAGAUAUAAUUGGUCUUGACAGAAAAGCUGUACAAACAGAUCACAAUUAAUUAUGUAGCCCCUGCAGUUGAAUACAGUAAAACUGGGGUCCAGGGAAUGUUGCUUUGCAUCAUGUUCCUCUAUCCUCUCGUUCCCAAAACUCUUAGGCAUGGUAGGGAGGGAACAAAUGGUGUUUGCCAUGGAGCAGAAAUCCUUUCUCUUCCCAUUAACUCUCCCGUUAGAGCUGUAGUGCUGGCAGCGGUCCUGAGAAGGGCUCUGAAAAGUGGGCUGGUUAGCAGGAGCAUUUUCACUGCAGGAAGAUUCGGUUGCCUUGGUGAAGUCCCCACGCAUCUGAAGAGUGGCUCAUCUGUUUCCGGCUGAGGAUCACUUGUGCUCACCCGGGCGUGGCCCCCACGAGAAACCUGGGAGUCUGGCAAGCUGGUGCCAGCUGAACUGUGAACCUUUUAAGAAAAAGCAAAUAAAACAGACAAUUUUAUUCGCUACAAUUCCAGUAGGACUAAUUCUUGGAGAAAAAGCAGUCUGAGAAGACUUUUCAGAGUCAGGGGCCUGGGGCAGGCAUGGUAAGUUGAGAAGGAGGAGGGCAAAGGGAGAGUGGAACCAAGCAGUGAGGGGACUGGCGAAAGUGGGUAAGAGAGUCCUAGCAGUUGCCUUGGUGGAAAGAGUUGUCUAAAGAAGAUUGUAAGAAUGUGUAGAACCUCUCAUCCGGCUCCUUUAAGAAAAUCACAAUAAAUAUCUAUGUUCUGCUCUUUUCAGUGUGGCAGCCAGUAGCCAUGUGUGGCUAUUGCCUGGUCCGAAUUGAGAUGUGCAGUAUGUGUAAUAUGCACACUGGAUUCUAAAGACUUAGUAUGAAAAAGAGAAGGCAAAAUAUUUCAUUGAUAAUUUUUUUACAUUGAAUACUCAUUGAAAUUGAUAACAUUUUUAAUCUAUUGGGUUAGAUAAAGUAUAUCACUAAGAUUAAUUUUACCUGUUUGUUUUUACUUUUUAAAAAAUGCAGCUACUAGAAAAUUUAAAUGAUCUAUGUGGCUCACAUUGUAUUUCUAUUGGACGGCACUGACCUACCUCAUUCUUCAAAGCUUUUGAAGUUAGAUUUGUGUUUAUUUCGGACGGGUGUUGGUGUUACUGCAGGGUUGUACAAGCAAACACUCACAUCCAUGUCUAUUGAUGGCCAAAAUGGAAAGGAGGGCCAGACUUGAUAUAUGUCAGGCUCCAAAAGGAGCUUUGUCAGUUGUCUCAGGUAAGUCUGUGUGUGUGCUGAGACCUACAGACAUUUAGAAAGAUUCAGAAUCCGAGAAACAUCCAGGAGAAAUGGUGCCUUAUUUAAAUAUAUCAAAAGGAGACCAAGUUUUCCUACAAUAUUGGAACUGAUGUUCACAGAGAAAACUCACAGGCAAGGAUCAGAAACAAAGGCGAUGCUCGAGUAAGGAUCAGAGAGAGGACGGAGUCUUCUCUGUGAGUGUAACUACGUGUCAUGCAGUAAGAAUGCCUGAGAGGGAGGAGAAAGAGGAAAAGAAGAAAAAAAGGAGGAGAAGGAAGGAAAUAGACAGAACUGAAUUGAGAAAAAUAGCCAGGUAAGACUAGACAUGGUUCACGUGGUUUCUAAUAGAUCUUGUGAGUCUGAAACAGCUUGAGAAAUGAUUUCUCUAUGGAACAGAAAUCCUCUGUAAAAUCACCACAAGCUAAAGAAAAGCACAGAUUUCCUAAAUGUUCAGGAGUAGCAGGCUUGAGUUUACUUAUCUGAGAAAUGACUUUGAGGCUGCCCUAAUUCUUUGUUAAGACAAGACUGGGGAGGAAGGAGCAUUUGCACAAGUGAUGAGGAAGAAUGGCUCCCGGGGUCCUCAAGGUCUGUAAUGCUUCCCAUGGAUGCUUUCCCUCUUCUCUAUAGAAGGUCAGGGUGGCCUGUUUGAGGGAGUCUCUGGCUACCUCCCUGGCAUGGUCUUAUUAGGUAGCAUUGUACAUAACUCAAUUAUCCAGAGCACAGUUGGGCCCUUCAAGCAACCGGAAUAGCAUCUUUCACUUAACUUUAUGGCAAGAAAAGACUCAUUCCAAAGAGUGAGUAGAAACACGUAAAACCUUUCAAGAGAGUUCAGCCUGUGUUCUGGGUCUGAACAAAUUCAGUCCGAUUUCUUAUCCCGUAACUCCUGUGUCUAUGGAACUGGGCAAUGAAAAUGAAUGUUCUAAAUAAUGAUCUGAGGUGCUGUAAAGGUCUGAAGUGCCUCACAAAUCAUCAAAGAAAGAUUAAAUUAUGUCCCAUACUUAUCAAAGCCGAAAAGGGAACUAAUAAUGUAUUUUACAAACAGUUGCUCCAGGAGCUGAAACUGAAAACAUGACAGUGUUUAACCCCAAUUUAAUUAGAAAAAUUCACAAGAAGGCCCCACUCCUAAAGCUUUCCAGUUAACUGAGGGUUCUUUUGCAUAUUGAGAAUAGGUAUGAAAAGCUGUUAUGUAUUAGGUUUUCUUUGAGGCAGACCUCCUGAAUGGAAUCAGCAUUUUAACCACAUCUCCAGGGGAUUCCUAGGCACACUGAAGUGGAGAAGCCCUGGCCUGGGGGACUGAUCUAUCUGUUAGAGAUGGAGGCGCCCCCUUUCCAUGAACAGGCCCUCCAGGGACCACAGCUAAUGCUUAUUUUAUGUUCUAGGCACUCUGCUAAGAACCUUACAUGACUUAUCUCACUUUAGUCCUUCAACAGUCCUAUGGAGGCCGUAUAAAAAUUACUCCCAAUUCACAGAUAAGGAAACUGAGAUACAAAACCAUUAAGCAAUUUGCCCAAACUCAUGCACACAAAGUUGUUGAACCAGGGUUCACAUUUGGUUGCCACUUCUUAGUACAGGACACUAUUCAGUCUUUCUUACUCAGGCUUUGGGUCAUCUACAAGGCGGGCAGAUGUGGAGUUCUGUGGGUCCUACCCCUGUGUUUUUUCUUUAUCCUUUCCAGAAACCCUGGAAUUUCCUGCUUGAAAUUCCCACAGAAUCUAGGUGGUGGAAUGACUUCCAAAAGUUAAUGGCAUAAUCCUGGGCGCAGUGCAGCCUUUCUGACAUUCCAUAUUAUAUUUUAUAAUAAAAAAAUACCAAAAAGCAAAACUGAGACCGUCAUAUUUAUCUGAAAUCCCAUCUUUCAGACAUAAUACAUGUUAAGUUUGGAGGUUUACUCUUAAAUGACUCAAAAUAGCUCAACUAAAGGGGACUUAUUUAAAAGUAGGGAGAGGAGGCAAACAGUGACACCCCUCCUUCCACCCAUGAAAGUCUCACGAAGCACAUAUUCUCUCUUUCUUGUUUGCUAUUCCUCUCCUUUCUGCAGACAAGCCUCUCUCUGCUUACUCUUACUCUUCCACUUGCAGGUGAAUGAAAAUGGCCACUCCAGCCCCGAUUCAACAAUAGCCUUCAGUUCACAUAUCAACAAUUGUGAAGAAGAUUUCAGCAGUUGUCAUUGGUUGAUCUGCUUGGUCCUUACUCCAGUUGCAACUUGUGGCCUCCUUUAUUUGAUUACCUCCCCUAAAGAUAAACCGACAUUAAUGUUUCUCCCUUAGGAUAAUAUUAUUUGACUCUUAAAACAAUAUGUAAAGCUAGCCUUUAGUUUGUUACACAUCAUUGUCCCAUCAACCCUUUACGGGGAUGUCCUAAGGGAGGUGAAUUGAUCUUCCAAGCUAUGUGAUGUGCCUGAGACCAGAAUACCCAGGUAGGUUGGAAUGGUGGGACUGGGGUGAAGGAAGAAUGUAAGAGACGUCAAGUUUGUCUACUCCUAAAGUAGUUGCAGUUCUUAAAAGAAGAGAGAUUUUCUUACCACUGUGAUCUCUAAGGAGGGCGAGAGAAAUCUGUAUGGGAAGUUGACUCUUUGUCUUCAUUUCUUGUUUUAUAUCUAGCAUUGAAAGGAAGGACCCGUAUCUCCAUUAAAGUUGAAGAGAGGGUAAUAUUGACUCUCCUCACAAUUACUUCCUGAGACUUAGAUAUGAUUCAGGAUAGAACACUCCCGAAAUAUUAGAUUGAGGAGAGAGUAAGCUCAUUGAGAAUCAUAGGCCAAGACAUUUGGAGGAAUGCAGGAUGGUGGAGCUUGGCUGCACAGCUCAGAGAUGUCCUUCUGUCUAGGCAGUAGCCUCUGUGGUUUGGUUCAACAGGGUUUCUUAAGCUUCCCUCAUGAUAAACAUCACUUGAUGCAUUUGCUACAAAUACACAUUCCCAGGCUCCUUCUGAGACCCACUGAUUCGGACUCUUCAGGCAAGGUCUGAUGAUUCUACUAUCAGGGAAGUUUGGAAAACACCAAUUUUAAAAGGUCUGUGGGAAGGCCUCUUGUAGGAGACAGCUUUUAGGCUAUCCAGCCAGCCUAUAAGAUACCCACCAAUACAACUCCUUACCUGUAGGUAGGACCCUAGCAUUCAUGUUUGAGCUAUGUCACCCUCAUGUCCCUGGCCAUGAAGGGAGCCAGGUUGUACCAGACAGAUUAUCUGUUGGCAAAUUUAAAAAAUCACCGACACUUUACUGGAACCUUUAUGUUGAAGAUCAAUUGAAGUUAAUGCAUCUUCUAUUUUAAAAAUGCAAAUUCUUCUGAAAAGAGUGAGGCUAUCAAACACUCAUAAUUGAAUACAAAUUACUUUAACUGGAUUGCUGCAAAGUGAGAGAAUAGGAGUAUUAUUUGUAGGGCAAAGGGUGAGGAGUGGGCAAAGAAGGUGACGUGGGGAUGGACAGACUAGACGAAGAGUCACAGUAAUGGUUUUACAGACCCACAGGAGAGCAUGAAGACUGGACAUGGUCAUUUCUAUCUGGUUUUUACAGGUUUUCUCUUUGCGAUAGUGAGAGUGCAAGUAUUUCCAACUUAGGUGGAUCCGUCCACUAUUUGUGACACAGUGUGGAUGUCAGAUGGCAUUUAGGACCUGUCAGGUUCAGUUUUUGUUGCUGUGAAAAAUAGCUGGUUAAGAGUUUUGAAUUGAAGCCUAAAAACGUGAAUGGGCUAUUUGAAGAUACCUCAAUGUUUUCAAUAGAGUUGACUCAGCUACAUUCGACUACAGAUCUUCGUCAACUUGUGGUGAGGUUACAUCCUGAUAAACCCAUUGUAAACUGACAAUAUCAUAAGUUGAAAAUGCAUUUAAUACACCUAACCUACCGAACAACAUAGGUUAGCCUAGCCUACCUUAAACGUGCUCAGAAUACUUAACGUUAGCCUAUAGUUGGGCAAAAUCAUCUAACACAAAGCCUAUUUUAUAAUAGUGUUGAAUGUCUCAUGGAAUGUAUGGAAUACUGUACUGAAAGUGAGAAACAGAAUACUUAUAUGGGUAUACCAACAGCUGUAAGUGUAUUGGUUGUUUACCCUUGUGAUCUCGUGGCUGACUGGGGGCUAUAUAGCUCACUGGGCUGCCCAUGAGAAAGUAUCCUACUGUAUAUUGCUAGCCCAGGAAAAGGUCAAAAUCCAAAAUUCAAAGUACAGUUUCUACUGAAUGCAUAUUGCUUUCGCAUCAUUGUGAAGUCGAAAAUUUAUAAAUCGAACCAUCAGAAGUCAAGAACCAUCUGUAGUCAACUCAUUGCACAAUUAAUUAUGUUUAGCUCUUGCUCAUCACACAGGCAAGACAAAUUCUUCCUCAGCAGAGAUUUGACAAUGGGUCCCUAACUCUUAAGGCUGGGUGCAUGUAUCUCUUCUGGGUUUCUUGGUCCAUUUUUCCCUCUUGUUCAUAUUUAAAAGGCUUAUGGACUCCCUCAGAAAGUUGUCUCGUGUUCCAUUAUGAUCUCAAUUUCUAGACUUUCCUAUGGAGUCAGUAAGUUGUUAAAAGCUCACCUUUUGCUUCCUGAAGUUUCUCUUUUGUUUUCUGAAUGUUUAGUCCUCUUGGAAUUUCACUCUAAGGUUCCCAGAAAGCCAAAAGUGUGAACUUACUCUAGGCAGUUUGACGUAAUUAAAAUUUAUCUGAUGGUCUCGGUGAUACAUUUGGAAAAAGAGUAUCUGAGGACUGGUCCUGGAAGUCCAAUCCUAGAUCCCUGGCUGAGUUCACAGAAAAACACAUUACAAGGAGGACACAUCUGAUCUCUUGGAGCCAAAAAGCCCCUGAGGCUGUAUUCUGCCCGAGAAUGGCUGGCUGUGGCCCUCUGGUGCUGGUUCUUCACCUGUGGGCUGGGAAGGCAGAUGGGAGUGAAGCUUAAAAAAUCUGUGCUUUCUUAGUACCUUCUUAACGUGGGGUAUAACAUAAUGCGGCAAGUUGCAUGUAUAAUAAAUUCCUUUUUAUUAAUUCA
Non-coding RNA from Equus caballus (horse), 9131 nucleotides. Lineage: Eukaryota; Metazoa; Chordata; Mammalia; Perissodactyla; Equidae. The record is from RefSeq and is a predicted model, not a curated record.